AAUGAACGUUGGCGGCGUGGAUUAGGCAUGCAAGUCGCGCGAGAAGUUUCCUUCGGGAGACGGACAGCGGCGGAAGGGAGAGGAAUAAGUAGAAAUCUGCCCUCGGGACGGGGAUAGCGGCGGGAAACUGCCGGUAAUACCCGAUAACAUCUUUGGAUCAAAUGGUGUGAUUCCGCCUGAGGAUGAGUCUACUUCCUAUUAGCUAGUUGGUGUGGUAAUGGCUCACCAAGGCAACGAUGGGUAGCGGGUGUGAGAGCACGAUCCGCCUCACUGGGACUGAGACACUGCUCAGACACCUACGGGUGGCUGCAGUCGAGAAUCUUCGGCAAUGGGGGAAACCCUGACCGAGCGACGCCGCGUGCGGGAUGAAGGCCCUCGGGUUGUAAACCGCUGUCGUAAGGGAACAAAUCUAAGAGGGUACUCCCUUUUAGUUGAGUGAUCUUAGGAGGAAGGACGGGCUAAGUUCGUG
RNAcentral lists this ribosomal RNA (469 nucleotides) under uncultured bacterium. Its description in RNAcentral is "bacterial SSU rRNA". It matches the Rfam family "Bacterial small subunit ribosomal RNA", at positions 29 to 507 of the family's 1533-position model. The record is from RNAcentral.